Molecule: ribosomal RNA, 279 nt
Filed under: uncultured bacterium
Lineage: Bacteria
Description: partial 16S ribosomal RNA
Rfam family: Bacterial small subunit ribosomal RNA
Source: RNAcentral
UGCCAGCAGCCGCGGUAAUACGGAGGGUGCAAGCAUCAAUCGGAUUCACUGGGCGUAAAGGGUGCGUAGGUGGCUGGGAAAGUUUGAUGUGAAAGCUCCGGGCUUAACCCGGAAAAUGCAUUGAAUACUACUCAGCUAGAGGAUCGGAGGGGAAACUGGAAUUCUUGGUGUAGCAGUGAAAUGCAUAGAUAUCAAGAGGAACAUCAGUGGCGAAGGCGAGUUUCUGGACGAUUCCUGACACUGAGGCACGAAGGCUAGGGGAGCAAACAGGAUUAGAUA